GCUUGUUUGUGCAAAUAGCCUGGGAUCAGGCUGUGAUUCCUGGAGCCUUUUUCUCCUUGCGGAGGUGGGGGGACGAGAGCGAACUCUGUGACAUCUCGGGGAGGCAGCAGGUUCCUGUGGCCCCUAUGCCGGGGGGAAGGACCGAGAGGCAGCAGGGAGAGGAUGUGAAGCAGGACCUGGCGAAGAAAGGGGGGGGCCCUACCGAUCCCCCCCACUCAAGAGGCUCAGAUGUGUGAAACAAAUCCCAAACCCUCUGUUAUGAAUUUUUUUUUUGGCACGCGCAGGAGGAAGUGAUGGAGUUGCUCCUUUCUGGAGAGCGGCUGCCAACCCCGAUGCAGCCCCCUGCGGCCCCCCAGCCCCUUUGCCAGCGUUUGUUCCUAGCAGAAGGGCUGUUUGUGUGUUGUGUGGGCUCCUGUUUUUUGUUUUAAGUGUGGCUACAAUCAUCUGCUGAGAGGCUCACUACUCCGGCUCGUUCCCUGCCAAUUUCCCUGAGAGCUGGCACUACAGGCGCUCCGGAGGCAACGAAGAGAGGCUGGGGAGGAUAGAUCGUGAAGGGAAAAAAAUGGACACAUGCCAUCGACGGAGCGGCGAGGUGCCAGAAUGCCAGCAGGCAGCAUGGGGCCAAAAAAAAAAAAAAAACGCCACACGGAGCGGAAAAGAAGCUGGCAGCCCCUCUCGAAGCAGGCGCUGGCUGAGUUGGCAGAGGUGCCAUGGAGGACGGGCUGCAGAGAGCAGGCAAUGCGGGAGAGAGAGAGAAAAACAGACAGACAAAUUGGCAGAGGCAGGACAGGUAGCAGACGGCGAAUGGGGAGAGGAAAAAGGCUUUCCUCCCACCCCAGGCCUACGCCAGGGUCAAGAGCAGUUGGGCCCCAGAUCUGGUCCAGUCCAAACACCAGGGGGAGAGUCAUCUCCGUCACACCAGCCUGUCUUCUGCACUGACCCCCAGCCUCGCCUCAGCUAG
This 961-nucleotide long non-coding RNA is filed under the name Chrysemys picta bellii (western painted turtle). RNAcentral describes it as "lncRNA (ENSCPBG00000023431.1)". The record is from RNAcentral. Lineage: Eukaryota; Metazoa; Chordata; Testudines; Emydidae.